UACGUAGGGAGCAAGCGUUGUCCGGAUUCACUGGGUGUAAAGGGUGCGCAGGCGGAUGAGUAAGUCAGAGGUGAAAUCUCACGGCUUAACCGUGAAACUGCCUUUGAUACUGCUCAUCUUGAGUUCGGGAGAGGUUGAUGGAAUUCCAGGUGUAGCGGUGAAAUGCGUAGAUAUCUGGAAGAACACCAGUGGCGAAGGCGGUCAACUGGCCCGUAACUGACGCUCAGGCACGAAAGCGUGGGGAGCGAACAGG
Molecule: ribosomal RNA, 253 nt
Filed under: uncultured bacterium
Lineage: Bacteria
Description: partial 16S ribosomal RNA
Rfam family: Bacterial small subunit ribosomal RNA
Source: RNAcentral